AUGACUCUGCCAAAAUCAAAAGGCGGCAUGGGGUUCAGAGACAUGAGAGCAUUUAACCAAGCUAUGUUGGCUAAACAGGCUUGGCGUUUAAUUGAUUCCCCUGAUAGUUUGUGUGCCUGCCUUCUAAAGGCCAAGUAUUAUCCGAACGGUAAUAUUCUUGAUACUGUGUUUCCGGCGAACUCAUCGGCAGUAUGGAAAGGUAUUGUUUAUGGCCUG
Molecule: ribosomal RNA, 216 nt
Filed under: Triticum aestivum (bread wheat)
Lineage: Eukaryota; Viridiplantae; Streptophyta; Magnoliopsida; Poales; Poaceae
Description: partial small subunit ribosomal RNA
Source: RNAcentral